Non-coding RNA from Oryza sativa Japonica Group (Japanese rice), 6114 nucleotides. Lineage: Eukaryota; Viridiplantae; Streptophyta; Magnoliopsida; Poales; Poaceae. The record is from RefSeq and is a predicted model, not a curated record.
UCCUCUUCUCCAUCUCUCGUGCUCUUCUGCAACUAGAAUCUGUGAUGCAAUGCGAUCCUGUGAUUUAUGCGAUGUGUUUCGAAUCAAUGCAAGUGUCUGUGCUUGGCUCGUGAAAAUGAUUUGUUUGAUGGUUUGCCAACCCACCCGUGAGGUAUUUUUGUUUCUAAAUUCACGGAAAAGUUGUUGGUUGUAGGUACAUACGUCAGGUUAGAUUUAGUGGAAUCGUAUUAGAUCAAGUUGGUCACCUUCUUAGGAGAAAACUCAACGGCAAAUUAACAUCUCUGUUCAGUUGACUGUACUCAUGCAGUAGUGGAGCACAGGAGCUGGAAGAUAAACAUGUGGGAGCUAGAGUGAUAGGAAUGCAGCACUCAUUUUUUUUGGGAAUAGAACGCACUCAAUUUAGUAUUUUAUUUGUUAGAAUUGAAGUGGUAAAAGCCAUGCGGCAUUAUGAAUGUUUCGAGACAAAAUGAGGGUCUGCCCAUGAUUCAUUCUGAGACUGACUGAACCAUGAAGCUGCCUUUUGUUUAGAAAAAGUCGAGAAAAGGGUACACUUGAGAUUUUUUCACUGAGCUAUCUGGGUUAGGAUAUUCUCAAAUGGCAACUUUUGUAGUGGCAAACUGGCAAGUGGCAACUGGCAAAUCCUUGAUUCCCCUCUUUGAUAACUUCGUGCAAGCCAAAAGGAAGAGGAAAGGAACACCUGAGAACAAUAGGCAUGGGAGGUAUUGGGAAAACACAGGAACAUAUUGUGACCCCUAAUUUUAAAGGGAAAUAAUGGUUGAGGCUUUCCUCCAUGUUCCCAUGCCUAAUGCUCUUAGGUGCUCUUUUUCUUCCUCUUCCCAAUUUGCCUUCAAGACCUCAUCAUCUAUACUACUGCCAAGCAGAUUAUAUGAGCCAAAGGGAAGAGGAAGGAGUACCUAAGGACAAUAGGCUUGGGAGGCAUCGGGAAAACAUCAAAACAAGUCGACCCCGCUAUUUUAGAGGGACAGAAGAGUUUGAGCUUUCCUCCAUGUUCCCAUGCCCACUGCUCUUAGGUGCUCUAUUCUUCCUCUUCCUGACCCACUCUCUCAAUCUCAUCAUCCAAACCUAAACAUUAAUAUAUUUUUCUCAACUAAAAUAUCUCUAUGAGCUGAAAGGAAGAGGAAGGAGCACCUAAGAACGAUAGGAAUGGGAGGCAUCGGGAAAAAUACUGAGACAAAUAUCCACCUCCACUUCCAGAAGUGAACACUGAGAGCUCAUUUUUCCUCUAUGUUCCCAUUCCCACUGCUCUUAGACUACCUCUUUCUUCCUCUUCCUCGCUCAUCCCAAAGACCUAAGGCUCCAAAAGUUUCAGAUUGAGAACAUGAUCUGUUGAUGAUGCUUGCUGUGUUGAAGUAUAUAUAGACAGUAAGUGAAACACCAUGCGUAUAUACUGUACAUGAGGCAAUAAGUAUGCACACAUCAUAGCAAACCAUAACACACAACAGUCAGUGACAGUGGGCCACAGAUCAUCUAUUGCUAAUGUAGACCUCAUGCAAUGGAGGCAUCGGUGUACAUCUUCUGCUUAUGCUCAUGUAAAAAAGCUGACAUGGUAGUCCUUGAUUUUGAGCCUUGCAAGGUUGGUCAUUAAAUCUGAGCCAUGCAUUUACAGAAGGAAGAAAGGAACUUGUACCAUGAAUUCAUUCUGAUUAUUUGAGAAUGAUAGUUAGGUGGAUGAAGAAAUAAUAGUGCAUAUGUGGAGGAUCACCGGAACCAAGCAAAUAAUUUCUCACAAUUAAAGAUGAUCUGCCCAACAUAUGAUCCUAGCCAUUUGCUCAUGAACAUUACAAUGUCCACAUAAGCAAAGCACACAUCACACAUCAUGUAAGCGUGAGCUCCAUUGGCUGAUGGGUCCACGCAGGGCAUGGAACAAAACUAAAAAUUAUCAUAUAGUAGUAUUUGGUUUUACUAAAGGAGAAACUAUCAUGAACUCUUGAUUAACACAAUCCCUUUGAAGACCAGAACUCUGCCACAUUAGUUUUAUGGUCAUUAGUACAUAAGUCAAUGUAUGCACCGAACAGCACAAAAGUACCAGUUUCAGCUGUGUGGUACCUAAUGCAGAAUCUAGUAUUUCCAGGACAGACUUGAUUCCUAUUGACUUGGCAGAGUGAGAAAUUUUGAGAAACAACGGAUAUUUAGCUCAACUUCUGCUUAACCAAUGUAUAUAACAAAUGAUAAAAGUAUUUGUGAGUCUAAGCAAAGAGUAAUAAAAGCAACUGAUUCCACUACCAUCUGUUCAUUUGAGGCAAAAUAUAUUUAGAGAGCUGCGAAAUUGUUUUGUCACUAUUAUUGUGCUGCCUCUUGCUAUUCUAUGUGCAUUUGCAUUUCUUUGCUAUUCCCCAUUUGUUAUCUCAUUGAGCAUAGGAACAGCUGAAGUCAUCUAAAUCAUGUUGCAUGCUAAAUUGCUAGGUAAUUCUACAAAUGAUCUUGAGUGUUCAUUAGAUGUCCCAUUCUCUCUUUCUCUCUUUUCUGUCCACUCUAGUGUCCACGCAUCAGUGUCAGCUCAAAUUAUCUUGCUCAUAGCAUUCUGGGUUUCAAUUUUUCUAAUUUAUGUAAUAUCAACAAAAGCAAAUCUGAUUGAACUAUAUUUUAAAUCUCAAGUGCUAACUACAUAUAUAUCCAGCUUUAAAGUUGUUUGCAUAGUGCAUUGUAUUUUUGUUAGUUUGUUCCAACUCUUAUUUAGAGCCGAUGUAUCAACCUUCUCGUUGCAAGUUUUUUCCCCUAACAUGGAAAAGUUUUGCAUGUAAUUUCAUUCGGAUGGUUCCAAGUUACCGCCGUAAUUUUUCAGUAAUCCUAAACGUGCAUUCAUCUGUGAGUUUGUAACAGAGUUCACACUUGCACACUGCAGUUGUAUCAAGUGAGCAGUGUGUACUGUGUAGGCAUCGGUACAAUGGUGAACCUUUUUAUUGCCGAUGUACAUACUGCAGCUUUCAGAAAUAACCCAUCUGAAAUCUUCAUCUAAAACAUUAGAAAUCGUUAACUAGCAAAAGUAUUCCUCUUUUUCUUCAUAAAAGUACACUAUAUAAUUUCAUUAACAUUUGAAUACUGGCCAGGUCACUAGAGUUUUAUAAAUCACAUAACUUUCUUACUGUGAUGGGACUUCAGUACUGAUUCCUUACUAGGUAAAAUCCACCAACUCUAGAAAAAAUACAGUGUGAAACACAGGCUGAACCAAGAUUCAGAAACCAUCUCUACAUAUGCAUGCUUUACAUGGCGAGAAAAAUAAAAACACUCUCAAGAAAUUGAGCAAGCCAACAGGAAGUGGAAGGAGUGCCUAAGAACUGUAGGCAUGGGAGGCAUUGGGAAAAACACACAGCAAAUUUCAACCUCUAACUUUAGAGGGGAAGAAAACUAUAUAUGUUUUUUCCUCCAUGUUCCCAUGCCUGCUGCUCUUAGACUCUCUUUUCUUCCUCUUCCUGACUCACUGUCAAGGCCCAAAGCCCCAAAUCCUCAUUAUCUAGACACAUGAAUAUGUUUGGAUAUUUUUCACUCCCUCCACUAAAAUAUUGUGCGAACCAAAAGGAAGAGGAAGGAGCAUCUGAGAACAAUAGGCAUGGGAGGCAUCAGGAAAACAAGGAAACCAAAUCUCAGCCCCUAGUUCUAGAGGCGAAGAAGAGUUUGGGCUUUCCUCCAUGUUCCCAUGCCCACCGCUCUCAGACCCUCUUUUCUUCCUCUUCCUGAUCCACUUCCAAUGACUCAUCAUCUAAACCUAUGCAUUGGCACUUCUGUUUUUCUCCCUUAAAAUAGUAGCAUGAGCUAAAAGGAAGAGGAAGGAGUACCUAAGAUUGGUAGGAAUAGGAGGCAUCGGGAAAACUGAGCAAAUCUCUAGCUCCAAUACUGGAGCAGAAAAUUUAGCUUUAGGCUUUCCUCCAUGUUCCUAUUCCCAUCACUCUUAGAGUCUCUCUUUCUUCCUCUUCCCUGCUCACUUUCAAGCCAAAGAACUACACAACUUUAACAAUAAGACUCAGAGCUGUUGAAAAAUGGCUAGUAUCGUGUGAUAUAUAUAAGGGUCUAGUGAAGUCCUCUAGACUGCACAGAAGCCCUGUGAGCAAAUCAAUGAACAAACCUAGUGCAUGGUGCACCAUAGCACACAGAGGUCAAUGACAGUGGGCCACAUAAACUUACUGUUAAGGUAGGACAUCUAUGGAUGUGAAUUAGACAAUGUUAUUUCUAUGCAUAUAUAAAAGGUCUGCUAGACUGUAACCUUGGGCCUUGCAUUUACUGAAAGGGUAAGAAAGGGACACUCACAUUCUUAUUAAGAACGUGAGAAGGGAGGGUGCAGGAAAAGAUGGUACUUCACAUAUGUCAUGAACCUAAUCUCUGGUUCUUGUGCAUAGAGAGACACUACAAACUUCCUGAGGCAGUCAAAUAGUGAAUAUCAAGUGUUAAUGACUUGAAAUUUUAACUUGAGUAAUAACAAAACAGUACAAGGAAUUAAUACUGCUACGAUCCUAUAGAAACUAUAAUGUGUGAAAGCGUGCAUUAUGUAUUUUUACCCUAUGGAGCAAGAGGUCCAACAAAUAUUAUGUUCACUAACAACAGGAAAACAAUAUGGUACAAAUAGAUAUAUAGCACCUUGAUUUUUCAUACUGAGAGAACAUCAGGAGACAGUUAACAUAAUAUAAUCCUAGUAAAAGCACACUCAGGACAUGCUUAAUUCGAAAUAAACAGGAUGAAUGAGGGAUCUUGAAGAGCACCAGGUAGCUUAGUUUGGUCUAAACUUUACCAGAAUGUCGAAGAGAUUGUGGGUGAUCCCAGAUAUCUUGUACAUAAGUCUUCAGCUAUGCAUCAAGUAAUUAGAAUGCAAGAAGAACAUGGAAAUGAAGGAAUCUUGAAUAUCAUCAUUUCGCCUCUGCAAAGUUUCAGAGAUAUUAAUGAUUGUCCCCCUUUUGUUUUCUCUGCGGAAACAAUUGAGCAAGUCAAAAGGAAGAGGAAGGAGUGAUUAAGAAUAAUAGGAAUGGGAGGCAUUGGGAAACACUCAGCCAAAUUUCCACCUCUAUUGUCAGAGAUGGAAACUAAAGGUUUAGGUUUCCUCCAUGUUCCCAUUCCAACCAUUCUUAGACCCUCUUUCUUCCUCUUCCCGACUCACUGCCAAGGCAUCUAAAUGUGGACAUGGAUACAUUUUGUUUUCUCUAGUAAAUUGGUGUUAGCUGAAAGUAAGAGGAACGAGCACCUAAGAACUAUAGGAAUGGGAGGCAUCAGGAAAAUCAUCAGACCAAAUCUCCAAUACCAGAGGUUAGAGCUUAAUUUGGCUUUCCUUCAUGUUCCCAUUCCUACUGCUCUUAGAGUCUCUCUUCCUCUUCCUGGCUCACCCUCUUUUUGGCACACAGCUACAAGAAACAGAAGCUUGAACAUUUUCUUCAGAGUACUAGAGUAUAUAUAGACCUAUGCAGUGCAGGGCUGUGAAGGAUAAAUGAAUUGAAUCUGGUAGAUGGUGCACAAUAGGACACUGAAGUGAAUGAUCACAUAUAUUGGCCAAGAAACAUGUACAAGUCACUGUACAACAUCUGCAGGGAUGUGAUCUUCUGGGUACAUCAGAAAGCUGAUUGACAUAAUGAAGAGUAAGCAGAGAACAGUGCAGACACUUGGGAUCUUUUGAGAGUAAGAAUUCAGAGUGGAGAAAGAGUCAAUGUGAAUCUGAAUUUAAAGUGGAUCCUGUGGACUGGAUUCUGAUGAAUAAACAUGGUUGAUGUCAAUGAGCAGACGAUUGGAUCAGCUUGGACUGAACACGUACUAUUUUCUGACUGCAAGUCCAAGGAGAGUAACAACUCUUCAGCCAUGCGCAACGGCAUCAAAUAACUCGAAUGCAGGAAGAACAAGGAAAUGAAGAAAUCGUGAAGGGCAUCAUGCAACCUCUGCAAAGUUUAAGAGAUAUUAAUAAACUCAAAUAUUCUUGUUUCAAUUUUGGUGAGAGGCGUAUAUAUAGGUACUACCUUUCUGUUCGGACUAAGUUACAAUGUGCAAAUAGAUGCUAAUUUAUGUACUUGUCCAUUUGGUUGAUGUUAUGUUCCAUAUGAGAUCUCAAUAGUGACAGUUCAUUUUGCAUAUCGUAGCUGCUAAGUGCUGAUAUAUAUAAAUGAUGUACAGUUUGCAAUGUUA